This 193-nucleotide non-coding RNA is filed under the name Novosphingobium sp. Fuku2-ISO-50. The record is from RNAcentral. Lineage: Bacteria; Pseudomonadati; Pseudomonadota; Alphaproteobacteria; Sphingomonadales; Sphingomonadaceae. RNAcentral also lists the same sequence under 1 other name.
AUGCGCACCGACGCGACAGGUUCCCCUUUGCCGGGGAUCAAAAGGGAACUCGGGUGAAAACCCCGGGCUGCCCCUGCAACUGUAAGCGGCGAGCCGACCGGCCAUUUCGCCAUUGGGGCACAAAAGCCCCGAGAAGGCGCCGGAUCAGCCUUGACCCGUGAGCCAGGAGACCUGCCUGUCGUGGUCGUUCUUC